Molecule: ribosomal RNA, 253 nt
Filed under: uncultured bacterium
Lineage: Bacteria
Description: partial 16S ribosomal RNA
Rfam family: Bacterial small subunit ribosomal RNA
Source: RNAcentral
UACAGAGGGGGCAAGCGUUAUUCGGAAUUAUUGGGCGUAAAGGGCACGUAGGCGGCCUGACAAGUGGAUGGUGAAAUCCCUCGGCUUAACCGAGGAACUGCCAUCCAGACUGUUUGGCUUGAGACCGGGAGAGGUGAGUGGAAUUCCCAGUGUAGCGGUGAAAUGCGUAGAUAUUGGGAGGAACACCAGUGGCGAAGGCGGCUCACUGGACCGGUACUGACGCUGAUGCGCGAAAGCGUGGGGAGCAAACGGG